This 253-nucleotide ribosomal RNA is filed under the name uncultured bacterium. RNAcentral describes it as "partial 16S ribosomal RNA". It matches the Rfam family "Bacterial small subunit ribosomal RNA", at positions 524 to 776 of the family's 1533-position model. The record is from RNAcentral.
UACGUAGGGUGCAGGCGUUAAUCGGAAUUACUGGGCGUAAAGCGUGCGCAGGCGGUUUGCUAAGACAGGUGUGAAAUCCCCGGGCUUAACCUGGGAACUGCGCUUGUUACUGGCAAGCUUGAGUGUGGCAGAGGGGGGUGGAAUUCCACGUGUAGCAGUGAAAUGCGUAGAGAUGUGGAGGAACACCGAUGGCGAAGGCAGCCCCCUGGGCUAACACUGACGCUCAUGCACGAAAGCGUGGGGAGCAAACAGG